AUCGGGAUGCAGAAGGUUUGGGACUGGCCUACAAGCACCAAGUUGAAGAAGCAUUCCCUACUAUUGCUGCUGGAGCCACAACAAGCCGACAGACCGACUCUACUAUUGUUCGAAGAGAUGUCCUAGGAAGAGAUAAGGAUGAAUCCGAAAUAGUUAAGAAGUUGUUGGCCGAAUCUGAAAGUGUUAUUUCAGUUAUUCCCAUAACUGGCAUGGGUGGAUUAGGCAAAACAACUCUAGCUAAAGCCGUUUACAAAAAUGAACAAAUUGUUGGACAAUUUGACAAAAAAAUUUGGGUUUGUGUGGCUGAAGAAGUAGAUAAAAUCGAGAAGGUCUUCAAAAUGAUUCUUGAAUCGUUAACAGGAGGAAAGGUUGAAGGGGAUCGUAGGGAGGUAAUAGUUCAAAAACUUCAAGAUGAACUCAAGGAAAAAAGAUAUUUCCUUGUUCUUGAUGAUGUGUGGAAUGAUCAAGAAGCAUUGUUGAAUGACUUUUUCAGCACUUUGGCGGGACUCAAUGCGAAGAAAGGGAGCUGGUGUCUUGUUACCACUCGUCUGCAAGAAGUGGCAAGUAUUCUGUCUAGACAUCCGCAGAUCAAUUUUACUCGCCAUGAGCUAGGAAAGCUCUGCAAUGAUGAUUGCUGGUCUAUCAUGAAAAAAUGGGCAACUGUAGGGGAAGAAAUACCAAAAGAAUUGGAAGACAUAAGGGAGCGAGUUUUAAGAAGAUGUGAUGGUCUACCUCUGGCAGCAAAGUUAAUUGGAGGAUUGUUAUCUAAAAAGAGAAAAGAGGAGUGGCUAUCUAUUUUGGAGGAGAGUCUCUUGAAUGGAGAUCAGGGUGGGAUCGAGCAAAUAGUUAAGGUGAGUUUUGAUCAUCUGUCACCUGCACCGGUUAAGAAAUGCUUCGCAUAUUGCUCAAUUUUUUAUCAAGAUACUGAAUUGGAACAAGAUCUACUAGUUGAGCUUUGGAUGGCUGAAGGCUUUCUUCAAACGGAUUCCCAAAAUGAAAGAAUGAUGGAGAAAAUAGGAUGUGAGAAUUUGAGAAUUUUGCUGCAAACUUCCUUAUUGGAAGAAGUAAGAGAUUGGAGGGGAACAUGGUAUAAAAUGCAUGAUCUUGUGCAUGAUUUUGCAAAAUCAAUUUUGAACCGUAACGGCAGCAAUCAGGACCGUUACCUUGCGGUAUACUCACCCGAAAGAAUCAAUGAAAAAGCAUCAGCAUCGCUUCGCACAUUAUUUCUGGAGGGUGGCAUAGCUGAUGAUAUGUUAUCAAAGUUCAAAUACUUGCAUGUCCUAAAAUUGUUCGGAGCAGAUG
Molecule: long non-coding RNA, 1302 nt
Filed under: Coffea arabica (coffee)
Lineage: Eukaryota; Viridiplantae; Streptophyta; Magnoliopsida; Gentianales; Rubiaceae
Description: long non-coding RNA (CARA_LNC000416)
Source: RNAcentral